RNAcentral lists this transfer RNA (74 nucleotides) under Nitrososphaerales archaeon. Its description in RNAcentral is "tRNA-Gly". It matches the Rfam family "tRNA". From Rfam's summary of the family: Transfer RNA (tRNA) molecules are approximately 80 nucleotides in length. Their secondary structure includes four short double-helical elements and three loops (D, anti-codon, and T loops). The record is from RNAcentral. Lineage: Archaea; Thermoproteati; Nitrososphaerota; Nitrososphaeria; Nitrososphaerales.
CCCGUGGUAGCUCAGCCUGGUAGAAGUUCUAUACUGCCACCGGAGCGUCGCAGGUUCAAUUCCUGCCCACGGGA